GGAGUUGUGGCUCAGCGAUAGAGCGCUCGUCUUGCAUGUGCAGGGCCCUGAGUUCAAUCCUCAGCACCA
RNAcentral lists this transfer RNA (69 nucleotides) under Marmota monax (woodchuck). RNAcentral's name for it is "tRNA.Ala". The record is from RNAcentral. Lineage: Eukaryota; Metazoa; Chordata; Mammalia; Rodentia; Sciuridae.